RNAcentral lists this ribosomal RNA (497 nucleotides) under uncultured bacterium. Its description in RNAcentral is "partial 16S ribosomal RNA". It matches the Rfam family "Bacterial small subunit ribosomal RNA", at positions 28 to 507 of the family's 1533-position model. The record is from RNAcentral.
GAUGAACGCUGGCGGCGUGCCUAAUACAUGCAAGUCGAGCGAACAGAUGAGGAGCUUGCUCCUCUGACGUUAGCGGCGGACGGGUGAGUAACACGUGGAUAACCUACCUAUAAGACUGGGAUAACUUCGGGAAACCGGAGCUAAUACCGGAUAAUAUAUUUAACCGCAUGGUUCAAUAGUGAAAGACGGUUUUGCUGUCACUUAUAGAUGUAUCCGCGCCGCAUUAGCUAGUUGGUAAGGUAACGGCUUACCAAGGCGACGAUGCGUAGCCGACCUGAGAGGGUGAUCGGCCACACUGGAACUGAGACACGGUCCAGACUCCUACGGGAGGCAGCAGUAGGGAAUCUUCCGCAAUGGGCGAAAGACUGACGGAGCAACGCCGCGUGAGUGAUGAAGGUCUUCGGAUCGUAAAACUCUGUUAUUAGGGAAGAACAAAUGUGUAAGUAACUAUGCACGUCUUGACGGUACCUAAUCAGAAAGCCACGGCUAACUACGUG